RNAcentral lists this long non-coding RNA (484 nucleotides) under Anneissia japonica. RNAcentral's name for it is "uncharacterized LOC117116082, transcript variant X3". The record is from RNAcentral. Lineage: Eukaryota; Metazoa; Echinodermata; Crinoidea; Comatulida; Comatulidae.
UGUUUGCUUUUUCUUUCUCAACAAUGACAAACUUCCUGUAGUGAAAGCGGAGUGCAGACUGUACACCUCUUUAGUAGUAGGCAAUAGUCUCCACUGUGUGGAUGCUAGGUUGGAAAUCAAUUCCAAGUUUGUGUGAGUCUGUCUUAUACUGAACAAGUUUAGCAAACCUUUUAUCUUUUAUUUUUCUAGUGUGCAUUUGAUUCUAAUAUACAUUUAAGAUAAAAUAAUCAUCAGUUUUGUAAUUAAACAACAGCAGUGAUGAUUGUGACAUAAUUGUCUACAACCGAUUCCCACAAAGUUUAAAUGAAAAUCAUAUCCAAGGGCAAAAAUGCAUGACAACGGAGAAGACAUGAGACUUUACUGGGCCAGACAACUGAGCCACAAAAUAUGUUUUCAGUAUGCCUGGAUGCUUAGCAAGCUAUGGUGUUCAGUCCUCAUGGUGGUUGUCAUCUUCAGUGCUUUCCUUACAUGUGGUCUCAUUGCA